This is a long non-coding RNA of Micropterus dolomieu (smallmouth bass), 2007 nucleotides long. RefSeq lists it as uncharacterized. The record is from RefSeq and is a predicted model, not a curated record. The transcript has 4 exons. NCBI's taxonomy places the organism in Eukaryota, Metazoa, Chordata, Actinopteri, Centrarchiformes, Centrarchidae.
CUAGUGUUGAGUGUUCCUGCCUGUUCCUUUGUUUUCCCUGUUUUGGAUUAUUCCCUGUAUUUUUGGAUCGCCUUGUGUUUUCUGGAUUACCUUUGUUUGGACUUUGCCUUGAGCUCUAUGGAAGCUUGUGCAUGCGGGGCCUCGCAGAAAAACAGAAAGUGAGAAAUGCGUCCCUAAAAGCGUCAGUGAAACAGGUACCAAAGCUUGUGAAAAGUUUUGUGACUUGAUGUAGAAUUGUCGUUGCCAGAAAGACGUUUCGGUGUUCAGUCCCCACUACCAGACCCCAUCUAUUGAGCAAUAACCGUCAGAGUAACAGUAGCGCUGGAUACUGGAGAAAGAGGAGUUCAUGAGAAGCAAACCACAGAGAAGUCCAAAACGAGGGAGGAGAGACUGAAAAAUAAGAGUAAAGAAGCAAGUUGUGGACACUGUAAAACCUAAUUCUUUUCCAUUUGUGGAGGAUUUUGUGUUUACCUUUUGCUCCCUUUGCUGGAUUCCUAUUUUUGUUUGCUUUGAACAUGGAUUUGGUGAGAGAAAACUACUAUUUAUAACAUGUAAAUUAGCAAGCUUUCUUUGCUUUUCAAGCUGAAUGUGCAGUUCCUAGUUAUGUUAUGUAUCACACACACGGAGCCCCCUCAGCAGCCCAUCUGCCCCCACCCCCGCCAAAGCAGUCAACUUGGGGGAAACACUGCGCUGCUGUCAUACUCUUGCGUUCUAGAUGCUGUUUAAAAUUAAUAAUAAUGGAUUACUAUUGUAUCAUGUACUAUCUAGGAUUUUGGGGUUAUGCAAAUAUGAUAAUUUAUUUAAAAUGAAGCAUUGAAUUUUAAAAGUUCUAUAAAUUAAUGAUGUUUCCUAAGUUAAUGAGUAAUCAUGGUAAAUAAUCUCACUAUUGAUCAAAAGAAUCAAUAAUAAUUAUGAUUUUUGGCAGAAUCAAGCAGCCACUUCAUUUAAUUCAUUAAAUUAUGACAUUUGUCGUGUGAAACUGGGUUCUGACUUUUUUCUGUACAGGUUAAUGAUUUAUUCAAUAAUUUUUUUUGUUUGUUUUUUUACUCGUUAAAAAUAUGAAAUGGUAUUAAAUUGGGUUACGAGCACUUUAUGACUUGUUUAGGACUCAAAACUCAAAGAUUAGGACUCGAGACUUGACUGGUGACUUGUCGGUCUUGAAUUGAGAUUUGACUUGGACUUGCCUGUCUUCAAUGGUCUUGACUUGGGAUUUGAAUGCUAAGACUUGAGAUUUACUUGUGACUUAAAACAAUGACUUGUUCCCACCUCUGAGAAAAAGUGUGUCAGAUACGGGUCUGCAUCCACAAGACCAAUCUAAAGUUGAGGGAUUAGGACACUGAUUCAUACACCUGAACCGCGGCAGCACUGAAACUUUUUUAUUAUUUUGCUGCUGUGUGACUGAUAAAGGACUUAACAAAAGGACUAAUUGCGAGCUGUGAAACCAGAGUCUGCUGAUCAUACAUGGGUUGGUAAAUCCUUUUGUGGUAUAAGUCUGUAUUUCAUGGUAUGGUAUUUUCCAUUAUUUUGCUGAAUUGGUGCUGCAAAUAGGAUGAUGAGGUGUGUGAUUUGAUGCCAAAUUGUGUCUGCUACUAACUCACAAUUCUAAAGAAGUCGGCAGUCCAACCUUAUCUCUUGGUCUGUUAUAAAUUGCACCUCUGAACCUAGACUCUGGUUCUACAUUAUAUCUACAGUGCUACACUACUAAUUGUAGCUUUUUUUAAUAUUUAGAUUGGUCUUGGCAUGCAUGCACUACAAUGAGAACGUAGAUAGAAUCACAUCUGAAUAGCAUACAAUUUGAUGCCUUAACUUGUAUAGCAAGGUGUCUGUUCUGUGUGCGUGUUGUUUUUUUUGCCUUAGACUAUGUUGACACUUUACAACACCUCCUGGAGGACGUGGCUGUCAAUCCAAGUCCCUAUCAGGAAGAAAGGCCCUUUCUGUCAAGUAUGAGAGGCCUGAUCUUCAGGAAGCACAGGCAUUAAAUUGGCAAUGAAUAUUGUAAAUAAAUAA